CCUACGGGCGGCAGCAGUCGAGAAUCAUUCACAAUGGGGGAAACCCUGAUGGUGCGACGCCGCGUGGGGGAAUGAAGGUCUUCGGAUUGUAAACCCCUGUCAUGUGGGAGCAAAUUAAAAAGAUAGUACCACACGAGGAAGAGACGGCUAACGCUGUGCCAGCAGCCGCGGUAAUACAGAGGUCUCAAGCGUUGUUCGGAAUCACUGGGCGUAAAGCGUGCGUAGGCUGUUUCGUAAGUCGUGUGUGAAAGGCGCGGGCUCAACCCGCGGACGGCACAUGAUACUGCGAGACUAGAGUAAUGGAGGGGGAACCGGAAUGCUCGGUGUAGCAGUGAAAUGCGUAGAGAUCGAGAGGAACACUCGUGGCGAAGGCGGGUUCCUGGACAUUAACUGACGCUGAGGCACGAAGGCCAGGGGAGCGAAAGGGAUUAGAUACCCCAGUAGUC
RNAcentral lists this ribosomal RNA (446 nucleotides) under uncultured bacterium. Its description in RNAcentral is "partial 16S ribosomal RNA". It matches the Rfam family "Bacterial small subunit ribosomal RNA", at positions 338 to 795 of the family's 1533-position model. The record is from RNAcentral.